AUGCUUGCAGAGUACUCGCUGUCAUCUAAAGGUGCGACCAAAGUAUAUAUCGAUUUGGAUACCCCUGAAAUAGCUGAGCUCCAAACGAGGUAUUGCCUGGAAGAUGAUAUCAUAGAGGAAACAGAGCCGGAAGCCCACUUGCAAGGAACAAUUCAAGAACAAAUGCUCUAUAACAGAAAGACACUAAGAGAAAUAACUGAAAUUGCAUAUGAAUCUGAAAAACAGGAAAAGUUCUAUACUGCAGAAGCAACCAUUAAGUCAACUGAUACAUCAGAUGAGUGGUACUACAUAGGAUGCAGCAAAUGUAACAAAAAACUACAAAAAGAAGGGAAUCACUUCUACUGUCCAAAAUGUGAGGAAGAACCUGAGAAGACAUGUCCAAGGUACAAACUUAAGCUAGAGAUAUGUGAUCAUACUGCAACAACAACUUGCACCAUGUUUGAGACAGAAGAAAAAAAACUUAUUAAGCAAUCUGCAAGAUUCUUGAUAGAUAGGGAUGACUGUGAUAUCCAUGAGCAGGCAGAAAAAUUUCAGAAAAUAUGUGGGCAGAGAUUAAUUUUUCAGUUCAGACUGAAUGACUAUAAUUUCAAGUACGGUUACCAAGAUUACACUGUUCAUAGAAUAUUUUUAUAG
RNAcentral lists this ribosomal RNA (633 nucleotides) under Triticum aestivum (bread wheat). RNAcentral's name for it is "partial small subunit ribosomal RNA". Lineage: Eukaryota; Viridiplantae; Streptophyta; Magnoliopsida; Poales; Poaceae. The record is from RNAcentral.